GGCGCUAUAGUGUAGUGGUGAUCACUCGGGAUUUUGACAUCUUUGCUUUCCCGAAACCCAGGUUCGAACCCUGGUAGCGCCU
RNAcentral lists this transfer RNA (82 nucleotides) under Termitomyces sp. T159_Od127. RNAcentral describes it as "tRNA-Gln". It matches the Rfam family "tRNA". Rfam says of the family: Transfer RNA (tRNA) molecules are approximately 80 nucleotides in length. Their secondary structure includes four short double-helical elements and three loops (D, anti-codon, and T loops). The record is from RNAcentral. Lineage: Eukaryota; Fungi; Basidiomycota; Agaricomycetes; Agaricales; Lyophyllaceae.